UAGGGAAUCUUCCGCAAUGGACGCAAGUCUGACGGAGCAACGCCGCGUGAGUGAAGAAGGAUUUCGGUUCGUAAAACUCUGUUGUUAGAGAAGAACAGCGCAUAGAGUAACUGUUAUGCGUGUGACGGUAUCUAACCAGAAAGUCACGGCUAACUACGUGCCAGCAGCCGCGGUAAUACGUAGGUGGCAAGCGUUGUCCGGAUUUAUUGGGCGUAAAGCGAGCGCAGGCGGUCAAUUAAGUCUGAUGUGAAAGCCCCCGGCGCAACCGGGGAGGGUCAUUGGAAACUGGUUGACUUGAGUGCAGAAGAGGAGAGUGGAAUUCCAUGUGUAGCGGUGAAAUGCGUAGAUAUAUGGAGGAACACCAGUGGCGAAGGCGACUCUCUGGUCUGUAACUGACGCUGAGGCUCGAAAGCGUGGGUAGCAAACAGG
RNAcentral lists this ribosomal RNA (429 nucleotides) under Bacteroidota bacterium. RNAcentral's name for it is "Bacteroidetes bacterium partial 16S ribosomal RNA". It matches the Rfam family "Bacterial small subunit ribosomal RNA", at positions 355 to 776 of the family's 1533-position model. The record is from RNAcentral. Lineage: Bacteria; Pseudomonadati; Bacteroidota.